AACGAACGCUGGCGGCAUGCCUAACACAUGCAAGUCGAACGAGAACUCCGGGCCUAGUGGCGCAGGGGUGCGUAACGAGUGGGAACUUGCCCUUAGGUUCGGAAUAACUCACCGAAAGGGGAGUUAAUAACGGUUAAUGUCUUCGGACCAAAGAUUUAUUGCUUUUGGAUGGGCGCGGGUUGGAUUAGCCGGUUGGUAGGGUAAAAGCCUAGCAAGGCCACGAUGCAGAGCUGGUGUGUGAGGAUGAUCAGGCACGCUGGGGCUAAGACACGGCCCAGACUGCUACGGGACGGAGCAGAAGAGAAUAUUGUACGAUGGGCGAAAGCCUAGUCCAGCAAUGUCGCGUAAGUGAGCAAUGCGUUAGGAUUGUGAAGCUCUUUUUGCCGAGAUGAUAAUGACAGUACCGGGUAAAGAAGCUCCGGCUAACUCCGUG
This 433-nucleotide ribosomal RNA is filed under the name uncultured bacterium. RNAcentral describes it as "partial 16S ribosomal RNA". It matches the Rfam family "Bacterial small subunit ribosomal RNA", at positions 29 to 507 of the family's 1533-position model. The record is from RNAcentral.